UACGUAGGGGGCAAGCGUUGUCCGGAUUCAUUGGGCGUAAAGAGCGUGUAGGCGGCCAGGUAGGUCGGUUGUGAAAACUGGAGGCUCAACCUUCAGAGGUCGACCGAAACCAUCUGGCUAGAGUCCGGGAGAGGAGAGUGGCAUUCCUGGUGUAGCGGUGAAAUGCGCAGAUAUCAGGAAGAACACCCGUGGCGAAAGCGGCUCUCUGGAACGGUACUGACGCUGAGACGCGAAAGCGUGGGGAGCGAGCCGG
RNAcentral lists this ribosomal RNA (253 nucleotides) under uncultured bacterium. RNAcentral describes it as "partial 16S ribosomal RNA". It matches the Rfam family "Bacterial small subunit ribosomal RNA", at positions 524 to 776 of the family's 1533-position model. The record is from RNAcentral.